RNAcentral lists this ribosomal RNA (863 nucleotides) under Streptococcus agalactiae. RNAcentral's name for it is "bacterial SSU rRNA". It matches the Rfam family "Bacterial small subunit ribosomal RNA", at positions 50 to 895 of the family's 1533-position model. Lineage: Bacteria; Bacillati; Bacillota; Bacilli; Lactobacillales; Streptococcaceae. The record is from RNAcentral.
AAUACAUGCAAGUAGAACGCUGAGGUUUGGUGUUUACACUAGACUGAUGAGUUGCGAACGGGUGAGUAACGCGUAGGUAACCUGCCUCAUAGCGGGGGAUAACUAUUGGAAACGAUAGCUAAUACCGCAUAAGAGUAAUUAACACAUGUUAGUUAUUUAAAAGGAGCAAUUGCUUCACUGUGAGAUGGACCUGCGUUGUAUUAGCUAGUUGGUGAGGUAAAGGCUCACCAAGGCGACGAUACAUAGCCGACCUGAGAGGGUGAUCGGCCACACUGGGACUGAGACACGGCCCAGACUCCUACGGGAGGCAGCAGUAGGGAAUCUUCGGCAAUGGACGGAAGUCUGACCGAGCAACGCCGCGUGAGUGAAGAAGGUUUUCGGAUCGUAAAGCUCUGUUGUUAGAGAAGAACGUUGGUAGGAGUGGAAAAUCUACCAAGUGACGGUAACUAACCAGAAAGGGACGGCUAACUACGUGCCAGCAGCCGCGGUAAUACGUAGGUCCCGAGCGUUGUCCGGAUUUAUUGGGCGUAAAGCGAGCGCAGGCGGUUCUUUAAGUCUGAAGUUAAAGGCAGUGGCUUAACCAUUGUACGCUUUGGAAACUGGAGGACUUGAGUGCAGAAGGGGAGAGUGGAAUUCCAUGUGUAGCGGUGAAAUGCGUAGAUAUAUGGAGGAACACCGGUGGCGAAAGCGGCUCUCUGGUCUGUAACUGACGCUGAGGCUCGAAAGCGUGGGGAGCAAACAGGAUUAGAUACCCUGGUAGUCCACGCCGUAAACGAUGAGUGCUAGGUGUUAGGCCCUUUCCGGGGCUUAGUGCCGCAGCUAACGCAUUAAGCACUCCGCCUGGGGAGUACGACCGCAAGGUU